Molecule: long non-coding RNA, 3543 nt
Filed under: Homo sapiens (human)
Lineage: Eukaryota; Metazoa; Chordata; Mammalia; Primates; Hominidae
Description: HSALNT0112823
Source: RNAcentral
CGCAAGCGCCGCCCGCAGCCCUGGUUCCCGCUCACGCCUCUCCCUCCACACCUCCCGGCAAGCUGAGGGAGUAGGCUCUGGCCUUGGCCAGCCCAGAAAGGGGCUCCCAUAGUGCAGCGGUGGGCUGAAGGGCUCCUCAAGUGCCGCCAAAGUGGGAGCCCAGGCAGAGGAGGCGCCGAGAGCGAGCGACGGCUGUGAGGACUGCCAGCACGCUGUCACCUCUCACAGGGAACUGUGAAGACUAGAGUGACCUUGGAGAUCUCAUCUGGAAGAUGGUAGAACUGCUAUCAGCCUGGCUUCCCAAAUGACCUCCUGGAUCACAGCUACCCAUGGCCUGAAAUGUUGACCUUGGAGUUGUUGCAUAGGAAAGAAAUAAACUUCUUUGUUCUUUGAGCCACAUAGUUAUCACAUAUCUUCUUAAAGCCACUUACCCACUUGUUCUAUCUCAUUCAGCUCUGAAAUUCUGUUUAAUUUCUAGAGUCAAAACAUUCAUUUGUUUCUUCUUUAUUUAACAAGAAUCAAUUACUUAUUUUAUGGAAGCCACUAUUCCAAAGAGAAGAAUCAUAAAAACAUUAGCCUUAUGGAUCUUUUGUCCUGGGAACAACACAGAGUGGAGACUACUGGAAUUUUUAAUAAAGUUCCUUUCCUGGGCAGUGCCAGUCCAGACCUAAUUUCCAGACUUAGUUAAGAUUAGACCAGUGUGCUGAAGAAUCAAAACAUCUAGAUAUUUUCCUUGCUCCAUUCUGCUUACAGCCCCACAAAAACUACUCACCCCACAGGGUUUCUUGCUUGAGAUUCCAGACAAUUCCUGUAUGUUUUAUUAGAAUACACUCUGUGUUUCAUCCAACUAGGAAGCCUUUGGCUCCGACUUAAAGCAUUAAGAACGGACCACUUUGGUAUGGAAAAUUAUCAGUUUUGGGGGAAAAGCCCCUGUUUCUCUGAUCUGUGCUCUGAAUUUGGCAGCUUUGUAGGCUUUCUCAAAGAGCCGCAACUGUGAACCAUGUCAUGUUGUCAUUAUCUCUGAUAUGCUCUGUGCAUUGGAAAUCCUGUGUGAGACUGGCAGGGGACAGAGGGAAUGAAGAAAUCACAUUCAUCAGAACAAGCUGCUCAACUUCCUUAAGUAAGGAGUUUGUCUAACAUCCAGUGGUUUCCUCUGACAGAGUGUGUACUUUCUUAACAUACGGACAAGAUUAGUACAUAGCCAGAAUGACUGUCUGCAGGUCCUAGGCUGCUUUUCAGAGGCAGCUUUAAUCUUCCUAAUUGAAUAUUUAGCUUUUCUAGGCCUGCACAAAAUGUAAAUCACAAUGUUUACAAUCUGUGAAAUAAUAGGAGAGUACAUAAUGUCAUUGCAAUAUUUUGUAAUCACUGUUAAAUGACUAAAAUCUAUUAAACUCAAUCAUUUUAAAUUAAACUUCUAAACUUCCCCAUUGCAGGUGAUGGCAACUCCAUUUUUACAAUCGCUUAGGCCAAAAAAACUUGACGUCAUCCUUGACUCUUCUUUCUCUCUCAUCUCACAAGCAAUUCAUCAGAAAAUCCUGUCAGCUCUGCUUUCAAAAUUUAACCAGAAUCUGAUUCCUUUGCAUCACCUCCACUGCUACCACUCUGGUGGAGCUGCCAACAUCUGUCACAUAGAUUAAGUCACACACACACACAUGCACACACACACAGAGUGUAUUCUCAGUCAAAGUGAUCUUUUUAAAAGGGAAAUAAGGCCAUUCUACUCCUCUGUUCAAAACUUUCAAAUGGCUCUCCACUUUUCUCUGAAUAUAAGCUCAAAUCCAUACAAGGACUUGUAGAGCCCCCGUUACCUUCUGACCUCAUUGCCUCCUACUCUGAUCUCUUAUGCAGAUCCUGCCCCAGUGGCUUCCUUGUUGCUCCUGGGUCACAUAAGGAAUGCUCUUGUUAUUUGUUCCAACUCUUUCUCAGUGCCCUCUCCUUGAUGUCUGCUUGGAUAUCUCCCUCACCUUCUUUAAUUGGACCUCUACCUUUCACCAUAUACAAAAAUUAACUCGAGAUGAAUUAAAGAUUUAAAUGUAAGACCUCAAACUCUAUAAAUUACAGAAGAAAAUCUGGGAAAUUCCCUUCUCAAUGUCAGCCUUGGCAAAGAAUUGAUGGGUAAGUCCUCAAAAGCAAUUGCAACAAAAAAAUUGACAUGUGGGACCUAAUUAAACUAAAGAGGUUUUGCGCAGCAAAAGAAACUAGCAACAAGUAAACAACCUAUAGAAUGGGAGAAAAUAUUUGCAAGCUAUGCAUCCAACAAAGGUCUAAUAUCCAGAAUCUAUAAGGAACUUAAAUCAACAAGCAAAAAACAACCCCAUUAAAAAGUGGACAAAGGACAUGAACAGACAGUUCUCAAAAGAAGACAUAUAAGCAGCCAACAAACAUGAAAAAAUGCUCACCAUUGCUAAUCAUCAGAGAAAAGCAAAUUAAAACCAUAAUGAGAUAUCAUCUCACAUCAGCCAGAAUGGCUAUUAUUAAAAAGCCAAAAAAUAACAGAUGCUGUCAAGACUACAGAAAACAGGGGACACUUACACACUUUGGGUGGGAAUGUAAAUUAGUUCAGCCACGGUGGAAAGCAGUUUGGAGAUUUCUCAAAUAACUUAGAACUACCAUUUGACCCAGCAAUCCCAUUACUAGGUAUGUACCCAAAGGAACAUAUAUCAUUCUACAAAAAAGACACAUGCACUUGCAUGUUUUUUGCAGCACUAUUCACAAAAGGAAAGACAUGGAAUCAACCUAGAUGUGUAUCAGUGGUGGACUGGAUAAAGAAAAUGUGGUACAUAUAUACUAUGGAAUACUAUGCAGGCAUACAAAAUGAAAUCAUGUCUUUUGCAGCAACAUGGAUGCAGCCGGAGGCCAUUAUCCUAAGGAAUAGAAAACCAGGGCCGGAUGUGGUGGCUCACACCUGUAAUCCCAGCACUUUGGGAGGCUGAGGCAGGCAGAUCACAAGGUCAGGAAUUUGAGACCAGCCUGGCCAACAUAGUGAAACCUCAUCUCUACUAAAUACAAAAAAAUUAGCCGGGCGUGGUGGUGUGUGGUGGUAAUCCCACCUACUUGUGAGGUUGAAGUGGGAGAAUCGCUUGAACCUGGGAGGUGGAGGUUGCGGUGAGCCGAGAUCGCGCCACUGCACCCAGCCAGGGCGACAGUGCAAGAGUCCGACUCAAAAAAAAAAAAAAAAGAAAAGAAAAUGAAACCAAAUACCACAUGUUCUCACUUAUAAACGUGAACUAAACAUCAAGUACAUGUGGAGAUAAAGAUGGGAGCAACGGACACUGGGGACUGCUGGGGUCGGGGAGUGUUAGAGGGGGUGCUGAGGAACUGCCUAUGGGUGCUGUGCUCACUGCCUGGGUGACCAGAUCAUUCAUACUUCAAACCUCAGCAUCCCACAGUGUUCCCAUGUGACAGACCUGCACACGUAUCUCCUGAAUCUAAAAUAAAAGUUGAAAUUGCUUUUAAAAAAAGACUUGGCUGAAAUAUCUCCUCUUUAAUAAGGUCCACUGGGACUACCCUAUUCCUACUGUCCCUUGCUGUCCCACUCACUUA